Solea senegalensis (Senegalese sole) is the source of this 1141-nucleotide long non-coding RNA. RefSeq lists it as uncharacterized. The transcript has 6 exons. The record is from RefSeq and is a predicted model, not a curated record. Lineage: Eukaryota; Metazoa; Chordata; Actinopteri; Pleuronectiformes; Soleidae.
UCUCGUAUUUAGGUCGACAUUAAGUAAGCGGGACGACAACACAGACUGCUGCUGCUGGUUGUAUAACGGGGCUUCACCUCAGCUGAACCUGACGCAUCUGGUUCAUCGGCGGCGCAGGACUCGCAGCGGCGGCUCAGUCUGCUGCCUGUGUCCCCGUUGAACCGAGCUGGAUGGCCGGCAUGAGAGAGGCAGCGAGGGGCGGGGGGGCGGAGGAAGGACGACGACAACAACGACAACUACCUCAUUUGUCCCGGCAGCUGCUCUCAACGAGACACCGUGCAGGAAAUACAAAGGAGCUGAAGUUGGACAAGCCUCGGAGGAACUUGAACUUGACAUAUACCGGUCUGCAGAGGACGAAAGAGGACGCGGAGCUGUGACGCCAACAUGCUGCAAACCAGAGAGGAUAUGUGGACAUACUGUGUGCAGCUUCCGAGAGAUCUGGCACAAUGAGCGGCGGAGAUUUCAGCACUUUACUCCAGAUAGCUGAUGGCUGUGGUGUGUGUGCCUGCUCCCUCAAAGACUCAGUGGGCUCGCCCGUCAUUGGAAACCGAAUUUCCGGGUUGGACCCAAUAUUCAGGAGGAGGAAAUCUGAGAGGAGGUGACCUGACCGAGCUCCAGAGGAGGCGAUCAGGUGAAGCACAUGUGAGAGAGGGAGUAUUUUUGAGUUCAUUCACCCCCACCACCCCCCCAAAAAAAGGAAACAUUAUUAGCAAAAAUGCUAUAGGUAACUAGGGGUGAAUUAAAAGAUGUAACUCAAUGUAAUAAUAAUCAUAAUACAGCUAUAAUAUGAAUGAAAGGGGCUCUCACAAAAAGUUACUUUUUAAAAACAGUGAUGGUCAGUGCAAUUUUAUCAUAUGAAAUUGUAUAAGAAUUUCACACACAUAUAUAUGAUAAUCGCUAUGGAAAUGGACACUUAAUGGCUGAUGUGGCGUGUUUGUUUACGUUUUUUUUUUCUCUGAGUUUCUGUUCCCUGCAGGUCGACCAUCGACCGUGUGACACACAAAGCCUCCUGCAGGAGAUAAACUGUCCUUUGGGGUGAGGUAGUAGGUUGUAUAGUUUUAGGGUCAUUCCCAAGCUGUCAGAUGACUAUACAACUUACUGUCUUUCCUGGAGCGACUGUACUGGCAUCAUGGAAGAAGAA